This 403-nucleotide ribosomal RNA is filed under the name uncultured bacterium. Its description in RNAcentral is "bacterial SSU rRNA". It matches the Rfam family "Bacterial small subunit ribosomal RNA", at positions 355 to 775 of the family's 1533-position model. The record is from RNAcentral.
UGGGGAAUCUUGCACAAUGGGGGCAACCCUGAUGCAGCGACGCCGCGUGAGCGAUGAAGCCCUUCGGGGCGUAAAGAUCUUUCGACCGGAACGAUGAUGACGGUACCGGGAGAAGAAGCUGCGGCUAACUACGUGCCAGCAGCCGCGGUAAUACGUAGGCAGCAAGCGUUGUUCGGAGUUACUGGGCGUAAAGAGUGCGUAGGCGGUUUUCUAAGUUCGGUGUGAAAUCUCCCGGCUUAACUGGGAGGGUGCGCCGAAGACUGGGAAGCUGGAGUGUGGGAAAGGCAGGCGGAAUUCCUGGUGUAGCGGUGAAAUGCGUAGAUAUCAGGAGGAACACCGGCGGUGUAGACGGCUUGCUAGACCAUAACUGACGCUGAGGCACGAAAGCGUGGGUAGCAAACAG